GAUGAACGCUAGCGGCAGGCCUAAUACAUGCAAGUCGAGGGAGAAUGUUGGAUUCGUCUGACAUGAAACCGGCGCACGGGUGCGUAACACGUAUGCAACCUACCUUUAACUGGGGUAUAGCUCAGAGAAAUCUGAAUUAAUCCCCCAUAAGACUACGACAUGGCAUCAUGAUGUAGUUAAAGCUCCGGCGGUUAAGGAUGGGCAUGCGGUACAUUAGCUAGUUGGUGAGGUAAUGGCUCACCAAGGCUACGAUGUAUAGGGGGUCUGCGAGGAUGAUCCCCCACACUGGUACUGAGACACGGACCAGACUCCUACGGGAGGCAGCAGUAGGGAAUAUUGGUCAAUGGACGCGAGUCUGAACCAGCCAUGCCGCGUGAAGGAUGAAGGCCCUAUGGGUCGUAAACUUCUUUUAUUAGGGAAGAAAAAACGGGAUGCGUCCUGUACUGACGGUACUUAAUGAAUAAGGAUCGGCUAACUACGUGCCAGCAGCCGCCGUAA
This 498-nucleotide ribosomal RNA is filed under the name uncultured bacterium. Its description in RNAcentral is "partial 16S ribosomal RNA". It matches the Rfam family "Bacterial small subunit ribosomal RNA", at positions 28 to 523 of the family's 1533-position model. The record is from RNAcentral.